CACAUAGGAAUCUGCCUCAACGUGGGGGAUAACGUAGGGAAACUUACGCUAAUACCGCAUACGACCGAGAGGGGAAAGCGGCGGACCGCAAGGCGUCGCGCGGUGAGAUGAGCCUACGUCCGAUUAGCUAGUUGGCGGGGUAAGAGCCCACCAAGGCGACGAUCGGUAGCUGGUCUGAGAGGAUGAUCAGCCACACUGGAACUGAGACACGGUCCAGACUCCUACGGGAGGCAGCAGUGGGGAAUAUUGGACAAUGGGCGCAAGCCUGAUCCAGCAAUGCCGCGUGGGUGAAGAAGGCCUUCGGGUUGUAAAGCCCUUUUGUACGGGAAGAAAUCCUGUCGGUUAAUACCCGGCGGGGAUGACGGUACCGUAAGAAUAAGCACCGGCUAACUUCGUGCCAGCAGCCGCGGUAAUACAGCAAGCAGGAGUACGAUGAG
Molecule: ribosomal RNA, 437 nt
Filed under: uncultured bacterium
Lineage: Bacteria
Description: bacterial SSU rRNA
Rfam family: Bacterial small subunit ribosomal RNA
Source: RNAcentral